RNAcentral lists this unclassified non-coding RNA (253 nucleotides) under uncultured Heliobacteriaceae bacterium. RNAcentral describes it as "contains 16S-23S intergenic spacer region". It matches the Rfam family "Bacterial small subunit ribosomal RNA", at positions 524 to 776 of the family's 1533-position model. Lineage: Bacteria; Bacillati; Bacillota; Clostridia; Eubacteriales; Heliobacteriaceae. The record is from RNAcentral.
UACGUAGGUGGCAAGCGUUGUCCGGAAUUACUGGGCGUAAAGGGCGUGUAGGCGGCUAAUUAAGUCAGACGUGAAAUCUCUGAGCUUAACUCAGAAACUGCGUUUGAAACUGGAUAGCUUGAGGAUCGGAGAGGGCAGUGGAAUUCCCAGUGUAGCGGUGAAAUGCGUAGAUAUUGGGAGGAACACCAGUGGCGAAGGCGACUGCCUGGACGACACCUGACGCUGAGGCGCGAAAGCUAGGGGAGCAAACGGG